CGACGGGUGAGUAAUGCCUAGGAAUCUGCCUAGUGGUGGGGGAUAACGUUCGGAAACGGACGCUAAUACCGCAUACGUCCUACGGGAGAAAGCGGGGGGUCUUCGGACCUCGCGCCAUUAGAUGAGCCUAGGUCGGAUUAGCUAGUUGGUGAGGUAAUGGCUCACCAAGGCGACGAUCCGUAACUGGUCUGAGAGGAUGAUCAGUCACACUGGAACUGAGACACGGUCCAGACUCCUACGGGAGGCAGCAGUGGGGAAUAUUGGACAAUGGGCGAAAGCCUGAUCCAGCCAUGCCGCGUGUGUGAAGAAGGUCUUCGGAUUGUAAAGCACUUUAAGUUGGGAGGAAGGGCCAGUAAGUUAAUACCUUGCUGUUUUGACGUUACCAACAGAAUAAGCACCGGCUAACUUCGUG
This 412-nucleotide ribosomal RNA is filed under the name uncultured bacterium. RNAcentral's name for it is "bacterial SSU rRNA". It matches the Rfam family "Bacterial small subunit ribosomal RNA", at positions 100 to 507 of the family's 1533-position model. The record is from RNAcentral.